This 342-nucleotide long non-coding RNA is filed under the name Elaeis guineensis (African oil palm). Its description in RNAcentral is "long non-coding RNA (EGUI_LNC067094)". Lineage: Eukaryota; Viridiplantae; Streptophyta; Magnoliopsida; Arecales; Arecaceae. The record is from RNAcentral.
UGGGAUUACUUUGAGCCAGUUAAUAAUAUUGAUUUUGAGUUAAUAAUCUAUGAUAGAUGAUUUGAUUUGAUAUUUAUUAUGGAAGAAAUUCACUGACAAUAGAAAGGAUGUGUCUUUUAUUCUGGAUUAUUUCAAAUGUCGCUAUGUGAGUUUCAUAACUAGAUUGUCGAUGUACCAUUCUAAGAAAAUCUGUAGCAUCUAGAUGUUAGAUUUAUAUCAUAGAAGCCAAUUGUUGGCUAACAUAGUUUAUAAUUUCAGAGCUUAAUCUUAUACUUGUAAUAUUUUUAUUAUCAAUAAAGAGUUUUUUAUUCCAAUCAUAUUUAUGUAUCCAUGAUUUGUCCU